Molecule: unclassified non-coding RNA, 378 nt
Filed under: plant metagenome
Description: partial contains 5.8S ribosomal RNA, internal transcribed spacer 2, and large subunit ribosomal RNA
Rfam family: 5.8S ribosomal RNA (bases 1-105)
Source: RNAcentral
GAAAUGCGAUAAGUAAUGUGAAUUGCAGAAUUCAGUGAAUCAUCGAAUCUUUGAACGCACCUUGCGCUCCUUGGUAUUCCUUGGAGCAUGCCUGUUUGAGUAUCAUGAAAUCUUCAAAGUAAAUCUUUUGUUAACUCAAUUGGUUUCUACUUUGGUAUUGGAGGUCUUUGCAGCUUCACACCUGCUCCUCUUUGUUCAUUAGCUGGAUCUCAGUGUUAUGCUUGGUUCCACUCGGCGUGAUAAGUUAUCUAUCGCUGAGGACACUGUAAAAGGUGGCCAAGGUAAAUGCAGAUGAACCGCUUCUAAUAGUCCAUUGACUUGGACAAUACUUUUAUGAUCUGAUCUCAAAUCAGGUAGGACUAUCCGCUGAACUUAAGC